This 865-nucleotide ribosomal RNA is filed under the name uncultured bacterium. Its description in RNAcentral is "bacterial SSU rRNA". It matches the Rfam family "Bacterial small subunit ribosomal RNA", at positions 524 to 1381 of the family's 1533-position model. The record is from RNAcentral.
UACAGAGGGAGCAAGCGUUAUCCGGAAUGAUUGGGCGUAAAGCGUCUGUAGGUGGUUUUUUAAGUCUACUGUUAAAUACGUUGGCUCAACCAACGGCAGGCAUUGGAGUACUAAUAAACUAGAGUAGGGUAGAGGUAAAGGGAAUCCCUAGUGUAACAGUGAAAUGUGUAGAUAUUAGGGAGAACACCAGCGGCGAAGGCGCUUUACUGGGCCCCAACUGACACUGAGAGACGAAAGCUAGACCAGCGAAUAGGAUUAGAUACCCUAGUAGUUCUAGCUGUAAACGAUGGAAACUAAGAGGGGGUAUACCCCCUUCUGUAGCUAACGCGUUAAGCUUCCCGCCUGGGGAGUAUGCUCGCAAGAGUGAAACUCAAAGGAAUUGACGGGAGUCCACACAAUAGGUGGAUUAUGCGGUUUAAUUUGAUGCAACGCAAAGAACCUUACCAGGGUUUGACAUGUCUCGUAUUUUUCAGAAAUGGAAAAGUGUCUCCCCUUUCAAAAAGGGAGAAACGAGAACACAGGUGGUGCAUGGCUGUCGUCAGCUCGUGCGUUGACGUGUAUGGUUAGGUCCCGCAACGAGCGCAACCCUCGCCCUUUGUUGCCAUCGGGUAAAGCCGGGCACUCUAAGGGGACUGCCAGCGACAAGUUGGAGGAAGGAGAGGAUGACGUCAAGUCAUCAUGGCCUUUAUGCCUAGGGCCGCACACGUGCAACAAUGGCCGGUACAGACGGAGGCAAUGCCGAGAGGCGGAGCAAACCCGAGAAAACCGGUCCCAGUUCGGAUUGAGGUCUGCAACUCGACCUCAUGAAGUCGGAAUCGCUAGUAAUCGCAUAUCAGAACGAUGCGGUGAAUACGUUCCCGGGCCU